Danio rerio (zebrafish) is the source of this 46-nucleotide non-coding RNA. NCBI's taxonomy places the organism in Eukaryota, Metazoa, Chordata, Actinopteri, Cypriniformes, Danionidae. The record is from Rfam.
ACAACGGCUCUUUUCAGAGCCACCUCAGUCUAACUUAAAAGAUCAA